AUCGAACGCUGGCGGCAAGCCUAACACAUGCAAGUCGAACGAGUGGCGAACGGGUGAGUAAUGUCUGGGAAACUGCCUGACGGAGGGGGAUAACUACUGGAAACGGUAGCUAAUACCGCAUACCAUCGGGUGUGCCCAGAUGGGCUUAGCUAGUUGGUGGGGUAAAGGCUCACCUAGGCGACGAUCCCUAGCUGGUCUGCGAGGAUGAUCAGCCGCACUGGAACUGUGACACGGUCCAGACUCCUACGGGAGGCAGCAGGGGGGAAUAUUGCACAAUGGGCGCAAGCCUGAUGCAGCCAUGCCGGGUGUAUGAAGAAGGCCUUCGGGUUGUAAAGUACUUUCAGCGGGGAGGCGUUACCAACAGAAUAAGCACCGGCUAACUUCGUGCCAGCAGCCGCGGUAAUAC
Molecule: ribosomal RNA, 406 nt
Filed under: uncultured bacterium
Lineage: Bacteria
Description: partial 16S ribosomal RNA
Rfam family: Bacterial small subunit ribosomal RNA
Source: RNAcentral